RNAcentral lists this ribosomal RNA (446 nucleotides) under uncultured bacterium. RNAcentral describes it as "bacterial SSU rRNA". It matches the Rfam family "Bacterial small subunit ribosomal RNA", at positions 29 to 507 of the family's 1533-position model. The record is from RNAcentral.
AACGAACGCUGGCGGCAUGCCUAACACAUGCAAGUCGAACGGGAAGCCAUCUUCGGAUGGUGGAGAGUGGCGCACGGGUGAGUAACGCGUGGGAAUCUGCCCUGGAGUGGGGGACAACCGCUGGAAACGGCGGCUAAUACCGCAUACGCCCUUACGGGGGAAAGCGACUAAGCGCUCCAGGAUGAGCCCGCGUCGGAUUAGCUUGUUGGUGAGGUAACGGCUCACCAAGGCUUCGAUCCGUAGCUGGUCUGAGAGGAUGAUCAGCCACACUGGGACUGAGACACGGCCCAGACUCCUACGGGAGGCAGCAGUGGGGAAUAUUGGACAAUGGGGGCAACCCUGAUCCAGCAAUGUCGCGUGUGUGAAGAAGGCCUUCGGGUUGUAAAGCACUUUCACUCGCGAAGAUGAUGACGGUAGCGAGAGAAGAAGCCCCGGCUAACUCCGUG